This 73-nucleotide transfer RNA is filed under the name Stegodyphus dumicola. RNAcentral's name for it is "tRNA-Arg". It matches the Rfam family "tRNA". From Rfam's summary of the family: Transfer RNA (tRNA) molecules are approximately 80 nucleotides in length. Their secondary structure includes four short double-helical elements and three loops (D, anti-codon, and T loops). Lineage: Eukaryota; Metazoa; Arthropoda; Arachnida; Araneae; Eresidae. The record is from RNAcentral.
GGACCAGUGGCGCAACGGAUAACGCGCCUGACUACGGAUCAGGAGGUUCCAGGUUCGAAUCCUGCCUAGCUCA